UGCUGCAUGGCUGUCGUCAGCUCGUGUCGUGAGAUGUUCGGUUAGGUCCGCUAACGAGCGCAACCCUCGCUGUGUGUUACAAGUGUCACACGGAACUGCCGGUCAUAACGGAGGAAGGUGGGGAUGACGUCAAGUCAGCAUGGCCUUUAUAUCCUUGGGCUACACACACGCUACAAUGGGAAGGGACAAUAGGUUGCGAAGCCGCGAGGCGGAGCCAAUCCAGCAAAACUUCCCUCAGUUCAGAUUGCAGGCUGCAACUCGCCUGCAUGAAGUUGGAGUUGCUAGUAAACGCAGGUCAGCCAUACUGCGUUGAAUACGUUCCCGGGGCUU
RNAcentral lists this ribosomal RNA (330 nucleotides) under uncultured Anaerolineaceae bacterium. RNAcentral's name for it is "bacterial SSU rRNA". It matches the Rfam family "Bacterial small subunit ribosomal RNA", at positions 1039 to 1382 of the family's 1533-position model. Lineage: Bacteria; Bacillati; Chloroflexota; Anaerolineae; Anaerolineales; Anaerolineaceae. The record is from RNAcentral.